CUGGGCUUGACAUGCGACGUGGUACGACCGUGAAAGCGGGAGGACCCGCAAGGGAGCGCGCACAGAUGCUGCAUGGCUGUCGUCAGCUCGUGCCGUGAGGUGUUGGGUUAAGUCCCGCAACGAGCGCAACCCUCGCUGCCAGUUACGAUGUCUGGCGGGACCGCCGGGUCCAACCCGGAGGAAGGUGGGGAUGACGUCAAGUCAGCACGGCUCUUACGUCCAGGGCUACACACACGCUACAAUGGCCGGUACAACGCGCGGCGAAGGGGCGACCCGGAGCGAAUCGCAGCAAAGCCGGUCUCAGUUGGGAUUGCAGGCUGCAACUCGCCUGCAUGAACGCGGAGUUGCUAGUAACCGCAGGUCAGCACACUGCGGUGAAUACGUUCCCGGGCCUUGUACACACCGCCCGUCACGUCAUGAAAGUUGGAGACGCCUGAAGUCGGUUCGCUAACCUUGAUGGGGGCAGCCGCCGAGGGUGGGGCCAGCGAUUGGGACG
This 496-nucleotide ribosomal RNA is filed under the name uncultured bacterium. Its description in RNAcentral is "bacterial SSU rRNA". It matches the Rfam family "Bacterial small subunit ribosomal RNA", at positions 975 to 1482 of the family's 1533-position model. The record is from RNAcentral.